Molecule: transfer RNA, 69 nt
Filed under: Ctenolepisma longicaudatum (long-tailed silverfish)
Lineage: Eukaryota; Metazoa; Arthropoda; Insecta; Zygentoma; Lepismatidae
Description: tRNA-Ser
Source: RNAcentral
GAGGUAAGUUGAUAACAAGAAAAAGCUGCUAACUUUUAUCUUUAGCGGUUAAAUUCCGUUAAUAUCUCU